CGACCGCUGGCGGCGUGCUUACCACAUGCAAGUCGAACGGUGAAGCGCCUUCCUUUUUGGUGGGUGUGGAUGAGUGGCGAACGGGUGAGUAACACGUGAGUAACCUGCCCCCUUCUUCUGGAUAACCGCAUGAAAGUGUGGCUAAUACGGGAUAUUCUGGGUCUGUCGCAUGAUGGGUCUGGGAAAGAUAUUGUUUCGGUGGGGGAUGGGCUCGCGGCCUAUCAGCUUGUUGGUGGGGUGAUGGCCUACCAAGGCGGUGACGGGUAGCCGGCCUGAGAGGGUGGACGGUCACACUGGGACUGAGACACGGCCCAGACUCCUACGGGAGGCAGCAGUGGGGAAUAUUGCACAAUGGGCGCAAGCCUGAUGCAGCGACGCCGCGUGAGGGAUGGAGGCCUUCGGGUUGUGAACCUCUUUCGCCAGUGAAGCAGGCCUGCCUCGUUUGUGGGUGGGUUGACGGUAGCUGGAUAAGAAGCGCCGGCUAACUACGUG
This 492-nucleotide ribosomal RNA is filed under the name uncultured bacterium. Its description in RNAcentral is "partial 16S ribosomal RNA". It matches the Rfam family "Bacterial small subunit ribosomal RNA", at positions 30 to 507 of the family's 1533-position model. The record is from RNAcentral.